UGGCUAGGGAAUCCACACAGCUUGUUCUGAAAGCCUUAACUGGCAGUUGACUCAAAAACCCAGACACUGCGGCCUCUGUGCAAUAGAGUCUGACACCCCUGCUUUAGUGGAAGGGUAACCCCAUCCCUAGGAGGUGCUGGGACUGGGCAAUCAGACACAAGGUCAAGUCUGACGGAUUGUUCCUGUAAAUUCACCCGUCUUUAAAUCAUGUGGAUGGAUCAGCCCAUAUACUCUGUACAGGGUGUCAGCUAGAGCACAAAUCAUUAAGACCCGUUGAUCUACACAGAACUGUGCAGAGAGUGACAUCCU
This is a long non-coding RNA of Anguilla rostrata (American eel), 309 nucleotides long. RefSeq lists it as uncharacterized. The transcript has 2 exons. Lineage: Eukaryota; Metazoa; Chordata; Actinopteri; Anguilliformes; Anguillidae. The record is from RefSeq and is a predicted model, not a curated record.